This 474-nucleotide ribosomal RNA is filed under the name uncultured bacterium. RNAcentral's name for it is "bacterial SSU rRNA". It matches the Rfam family "Bacterial small subunit ribosomal RNA", at positions 17 to 518 of the family's 1533-position model. The record is from RNAcentral.
UCCUGGCUACAGAACGAACGCUGGCGGCAUGGAUUAGGCAUGCAAGUGACGAACUCUUCGGGAGUGAGUAGCGGAAGGGUGAGGAACGCGUGAGUAAUCUGCCCCCCAGUUGGGAAUAACAGUUGGAAACGACUGCUAAUACCGAAUGUGGCUUAAGCUUCGCCUGGAGCUUUGGCUAAAGAUUUAUCGCUGGGGGAUGAGCUCGCGUCCCAUUAGGUAGUUGGUGAGGUAACGGCUCACCAAGCCGACGAUGGGUAGCUGGUCUGAGAGGAUGGUCAGCCACACUGGGACUGAGACACUGCCCAGACUCCUACGGGAGGCUGCAGUCGAGAAUCUUGGGCAAUGCGCGAAAGCGUGACCCAAGCAAUGCCGCGUGUAUGAUGAAGGCCCUCGGGUCGUAAAGUACUGUCUCCCGUGACGAAAUUUGACGGUAGCGGGGAAGGAAGCCACGGCUAACUACGUGCCAGCAGCAGC